Molecule: ribosomal RNA, 448 nt
Filed under: uncultured bacterium
Lineage: Bacteria
Description: bacterial SSU rRNA
Rfam family: Bacterial small subunit ribosomal RNA
Source: RNAcentral
GAUGAACGCUGGCGGCGUGCUUAACACAUGCAAGUCGAGCGAAGCAGUUAAGAAGAUUCUUCGGAUGAUUCUUAACUGACUGAGCGGCGGACGGGUGAGUAACGCGUGGGUGACCUGCCCCAUACCGGGGGAUAACAGCUGGAAACGGCUGCUAAUACCGCAUAAGCGCACAGAGCUGCAUGGCUCGGUGUGAAAAACUCCGGUGGUAUGGGAUGGGCUCGCGUCUGAUUAGGCAGUUGGCGGGGUAACGGCCCACCAAACCGACGAUCAGUAGCCGGCCUGAGAGGGCGACCGGCCACAUUGGGACUGAGACACGGCCCAAACUCCUACGGGAGGCAGCAGGGGGGAAUAUUGCACAAUGGGGGAAACCCUGAUGCAGCGACGCCGCGUGAGCGAAGAAGUAUUUCGGUAUGUAAAGCUCUAUCAGCAGGGAAGAUAAUGACGGUAC